AGUGAACGCUGGCGGUAGGCCUAACACAUGCAAGUCGAACGGCAGCACAGUAAGAGCUUGCUCUUACGGGUGGCGAGUGGCGGACGGGUGAGGAAUACAUCGGAAUCUACUUUUUCGUGGGGGAUAACGUAGGGAAACUUACGCUAAUACCGCAUACGACCUACGGGUGAAAGCAGGGGAUCUUCGCACCUUGCGCGAUUGAAUGAGCCGAUGUCGGAUUAGCUAGUUGGCGGGGUAAAGGCCCACCAAGGCGACGAUCCGUAGCUGGUCUGAGAGGAUGAUCAGCCACACUGGAACUGAGACACGGUCCAGACUCCUACGGGAGGCAGCAGUGGGGUAUAUUGGACAAUGGGCGCAAGCCUGAUCCAGCCAUACCGCGUGGGUGAAGAAGGCCUUCGGGUUGUAAAGCCCUUUUGUUGGGAAAGAAAAGCAGCAGGUUAAUACCCCGCUGUUCUGACGGUACCCAAAGAAUAAGCACCGGCUAACUUCGUG
RNAcentral lists this ribosomal RNA (492 nucleotides) under uncultured bacterium. Its description in RNAcentral is "partial 16S ribosomal RNA". It matches the Rfam family "Bacterial small subunit ribosomal RNA", at positions 29 to 507 of the family's 1533-position model. The record is from RNAcentral.